This 27-nucleotide non-coding RNA is filed under the name Rattus norvegicus (Norway rat). Lineage: Eukaryota; Metazoa; Chordata; Mammalia; Rodentia; Muridae. The record is from RNAcentral.
UGUGAGCAGCCAGAUGGAGACCCACGA